Molecule: ribosomal RNA, 253 nt
Filed under: uncultured bacterium
Lineage: Bacteria
Description: partial 16S ribosomal RNA
Rfam family: Bacterial small subunit ribosomal RNA
Source: RNAcentral
UACGUAGGGUGCAAGCGUUGUCCGGAAUUAUUGGGCGUAAAGAGCUCGUAGGCGGUUUGUCGCGUCUGCUGUGAAAACUCGGGGCUUAACCCCGGGCCUGCAGUGGGUACGGGCAGACUAGAGUGCGGUAGGGGAGAUUGGAAUUCCUGGUGUAGCGGUGGAAUGCGCAGAUAUCAGGAGGAACACCGAUGGCGAAGGCAGAUCUCUGGGCCGUAACUGACGCUGAGGAGCGAAAGCGUGGGGAGCGAACAGG